AUACGGAGGAUCCGAGCGUUAUCCGGAUUUAUUGGGUUUAAAGGGUGCGCAGGCGGCCAUUUAAGUCAGCGGUUAAAUCGUGGGGCUCAACCCCAUUCUGCCGUUGAUACUGGGUGGCUUGAUUGCGGUCGAGGUUGGCGGAAUUCGUUGUGUAGCGGUGAAAUGCAUAGAUAUGACGAAGAACACCGAGUGCGUAGGCAGCUGACCAGACCGCAAAUGACGCUCAUGCACGAAAGUGCAGGGAUCGAACAGGAUUAGAUACCUUGGUAGCCCGCACAGUAAACGAUGAAUACUUGUUUUCGGCGAUAUAAUGUCGGAGGCAAAGCGAAAGCGAUAAGUAUUCCGCCUGGGGAGUACGCCGGCAACGGUGAAACUCAAAUGAAUUGACGGGG
Molecule: ribosomal RNA, 392 nt
Filed under: uncultured bacterium
Lineage: Bacteria
Description: partial 16S ribosomal RNA
Rfam family: Bacterial small subunit ribosomal RNA
Source: RNAcentral